UACCAGCUCUCCGAGUGGUGUGGAUGUUUAUUGGGCCUAAAGCAUCCGUAGCUGGCUGGGCAAGUCCCCUGUUAAAUCCACCGAUUCAAUCGUUGGAGUGCGGGGAUACUGCUCGGCUAGGGGACGGGAGAGGCCGACGGUAUUUUCGGGGUAGGGGUGAAAUCCUAUAAUCCCGGAAAGACCACCAGUGGCGAAGGCUGUCGGCUAGAACGCGCCCGACGGUGAGGGAUGAAAGCUGGGGGAGCGAACCGGAUUAGAUACCCGGGUAGUCCCAGCUGUAAACGAUGCAGGCUAGGUGUUUGGGCGGCCACGUGCCGCUCUAGUGCCGCAGGGAAGUCGUUAAGCCUGCCGCCUGGGGAGUACGGCCGCAAGGCUGAAACUUAAAGGAAUUGGCGGGGGAGCACCACAAGGGGUGAAGCUUGCGGUUU
This 428-nucleotide ribosomal RNA is filed under the name uncultured archaeon. RNAcentral's name for it is "bacterial SSU rRNA". It matches the Rfam family "Archaeal small subunit ribosomal RNA", at positions 474 to 903 of the family's 1478-position model. The record is from RNAcentral.